CAAAGUAGAACUUGGUAGUAAGUAUUUCAUUUACACUGAAAAGUGUUUCGUGCAAUUCGAAUUAUUUUGA
This 70-nucleotide transfer RNA is filed under the name Ultragryllacris sp. 1 JL-2022a. Its description in RNAcentral is "tRNA-Val". Lineage: Eukaryota; Metazoa; Arthropoda; Insecta; Orthoptera; Gryllacrididae. The record is from RNAcentral.